CUGGCCCUGGGAAGACCCAGCUUUGAGCCUCAGGUUGUGUCUAAUCAUCUCUCUGUCCUUGGGCCAGUCAACUCACCUGUUCGUGCUGCCACAGAGACAGAGGGGCCACAUCAGAGAGAAAGACUCUACAGCUUGCCCAGAGUCGAGCUUAAAUGGAGCAGCAUGAUUUUUGUCUGAAAAGUCUGAGAUGGGACCAGUGGAAAGGUGUGCAUUUUAAGAAGGAUUUGCUUCCCCAUCUUGUGCCUUCUGUGUCUUGCAGCACGACCUGGCCCUCCACCUAGGAAUCAUACCUUCAUCCCCCAUACUCAUAAGCAUCCUCAUUCCUGUUUCCUUGUGGAUGUCAUGGUCUGCUGUGAAGUCUGCUUGGUGACCCGUCCAGACCUGACUUGGUAUAAAUGAUUUUGUUGCAGAGAAUAACAAA
This is a long non-coding RNA of Homo sapiens (human), 421 nucleotides long. Lineage: Eukaryota; Metazoa; Chordata; Mammalia; Primates; Hominidae. The record is from Ensembl.